This 459-nucleotide ribosomal RNA is filed under the name Streptomyces albidoflavus. RNAcentral's name for it is "partial 16S ribosomal RNA". Lineage: Bacteria; Bacillati; Actinomycetota; Actinomycetes; Kitasatosporales; Streptomycetaceae. The record is from RNAcentral.
CGUACUUUGCUUCUUCCUGCUGAAGAGGUUUACAACCCGAAGGCCGUCAUCCCUCACGCGGCGUCGCUGCAUCAGGCUUUCGCCCAUUGUGCAAUAUUCCCCACUGCUGCCUCCCGUAGGAGUCUGGGCCGUGUCUCAGUCCCAGUGUGGCCGGUCGCCCUCUCAGGCCGGCUACCCGUCGUCGCCUUGGUGAGCCACUACCUCACCAACAAGCUGAUAGGCCGCGGGCUCAUCCUGCACCGCCGGAGCUUUACACCAUCCACCAUGCGGCAGACGGUCAUAUCCGGUAUUAGACCCCGUUUCCAGGGCUUGUCCCAGAGUGCAGGGCAGAUUGCCCACGUGUUACUCACCCGUUCGCCACUAAUCCCCGCCCGAAAGCGGUUCAUCGUUCGACUUGCAUGUGUUAAGCACGCCGCCAGCGUUCGUCCUGAGCCAGGAUCAAACUCUANGGAGGUGAUC